GGCAGUUCAGAGUGAUAGGACCAAGACACCCUAUCCGGGCUCUGGUCGGGGAUGAAGUGGAAUUGCCAUGUCGCAUAUCUCCUGGGAAGAACGCUACAGGCAUGGAGGUGGGGUGGUACCGCCCCCCCUUCUCUAGGGUGGUUCAUCUCUACAGAAAUGGCAAGGACCAAGAUGGAGACCAGGCACCUGAAUAUCGGGGCCGGACAGAGCUGCUGAAAGAUGCUAUUGGUGAGGGAAAGGUGACUCUCAGGAUCCGGAAUGUAAGGUUCUCAGAUGAAGGAGGUUUCACCUGCUUCUUCCGAGAUCAUUCUUACCAAGAGGAGGCAGCAAUGGAAUUGAAAGUAGAAGUGUCUCACUCUGUCACCCAGGAUUGGUUGCAGUGGCACGAUCAUGGCUCAUUGCAGCCUCCACCUCCCAGGCUCAAGUGAUCCUCCUGACUCAGCCUCUUGAAUAGCUGAGACCACAGGCUUGUGUCACCAUGCCCAGAUCCUUUCUACUGGGUGAGCCCUGGAGUGCUGGUUCUCCUCGCGGUGCUGCCUGUGCUCCUCCUGCAGAUCACUGUUGGCCUCGUCUUCCUCUGCCUGCAGUACAGACUGAGAGGAAAACUUCGAGCAGAGAUAGAGAAUCUCCACCGGACUUUUGAUCCCCACUUUCUGAGGGUGCCCUGCUGGAAGAUAACCCUGUUUGUAAUUGUGCCGGUUCUUGGACCCUUGGUUGCCUUGAUCAUCUGCUACAACUGGCUACAUCGAAGACUAGCAGGGCAAUUCCUUGAAGAGCUACGAAAUCCCUUCUGAGUGAUGUCACAUCUUGGCAGGGGUGGAGGAGAGCCUGGUUGCCCAGGGAUUUGUCCUUGGGGACAUCUCAUCCAUCAAGUUGCACACUCACUGGCAUCUUUGCUAUGGGGACAUUCCAAUUUGCACUUUCAGGAACACUCUGAAUUCCAAGUAGAAUUGAUUUCCCUUCUUCUGUCAUCUACCUUUUCUCUUCAUUUUCCCAUUUUUAUUACCCUUCUUUCCAUUUCUCUCUCCAGUCUUCCACCUGGAAGCCCUCUCUGGCUAAGGACAGGCAGGUGCCCCUCUCUCCAUCAGAGGACACCUGUACUGGAGAGCAACACAGGAUGGUCUCUGCCAUGAACUGGAGGCCAGGAAUCUCCUCACUGAAAAUUACAGUAUGGUAACUUUGCAAAUGGUGGUUGUUUCUUCCAAGACUCCAGCCCUGAUUGCGCAAAACUGAAAGGCAUGUGAAGGGAAGGAAGAGGAAGAGUGCAAAACAUUGAAGAGAGAGCUGAGUGAGCUGAAGAGUGAGGAUAUGAGUAGCCCCAACCCAAACCUGGAGAUGGGGAGAAACCUACAGAAUACUAGCCAGAGCUCCUCCUUGUCUUGGCAGCCUACUAGGGACCUGGGGAAGCAAAAACGAAAGCUGGGCAACAUGCCUGCUUUAGAAUGUUUUCCUUCUACUUACACAUCUUCCACAGGUCUCAGAAUCUUUCCUUCCUCUCAUCCUUUUCUCCUAUCUUCAUAUCUAUCAGAGUAUCCACUGUUUAUUCAACAACUACUACUUGAUGGUCAGACACAAACAAACAAGCUAGGUGCUAAUUAAUAAAGAUACGAGUUUUGGCCGGGUGCGGUGGCUCACGCCUGUAAUCCCAGCACUUUGGGAGGCCGAGGCGGGCGAAUCACGAGGUCAGGAGUUCAAGACCAGCCUGGCCAACAUGGUGAAACCCCAUCUCUACUAAAAAUACAAACAAUUAACUGAGCAUAGUGGUGGGCACCUAUAAUACCAGCUACUCCGGAGGCUGAGGCAGGAGAAUCGCUUGAACCCAGGAGGCAGAGGUUGCAGUGAGCUGAGAUCGCGCCACUGCACUCUAGCCGGAGUGACAGAGUAAGACUCUGUCUCAAAAAUAAAUAAAUAAAUAAAUAAAUAAAUAAAUAAAUAAAUAAAUAAAUAAAUAAAAAAUAAUAAUACAAGUUUUCAUAAGCACACUUCUAA
RNAcentral lists this unclassified non-coding RNA (1989 nucleotides) under Homo sapiens (human). Its description in RNAcentral is "myelin oligodendrocyte glycoprotein (ENSG00000237834.9)". Lineage: Eukaryota; Metazoa; Chordata; Mammalia; Primates; Hominidae. The record is from RNAcentral.